Long non-coding RNA from Amborella trichopoda, 1490 nucleotides. RefSeq lists it as uncharacterized. The record is from RefSeq and is a predicted model, not a curated record. NCBI's taxonomy places the organism in Eukaryota, Viridiplantae, Streptophyta, Magnoliopsida, Amborellales, Amborellaceae.
CCGUGCUCCACACUCGGGGAUUUGAAUUUUGAACGGUCAGAGAGAGAGAACAGUCACAGAGAGAGAUGGGGAGUAGUAUCAAACUCUCAACUAGGGUUUCAUGGGCUGAUAAAGUUGAAAAAGAGCCUGCAACACCAGCAACAAAAACAUGGAGAACAACCCAUUAAAAGGCCCAAGCCCAACCCCUUUGGCUCUGCGAGGCCCCGGGAGGUUGUACUCCAAGAAAGAGGCAUUGUCUGUGAUGAGCUCAACUUGAAAUUUGAUCACCAUACCAUUUCCAGCUCUUCUUUCAUCAAACAUCUCUGGUUUAACAGGCAGUAGUGACACAAGAAAAACAAAUAGGGACAUGCCAUUCAAAACGAGAAAGGGACAUGCAACACAGGUUUGAUAGGAAUGAGAAGCUCCAAGAAAACAAGCCACCUUCAACCCCUUUGCCACGGCUGCCAGCCACAAAAAACAUGAGAGUGAGUGUUUAAUAUUUCUCAUGGAGGAAAAGCAUAAGGGAGAAUUUCUCUCAGAGCAACAACGGUCUUGUACCGAACCCAAGCAAGAAAAUGGCCCCAAAAACCAACCAGCUCUGCAAAAAUCAACCAUGGAAAAUAAAUUUCACUCAGACCAAAAGCACGAGAGUGAAUUUCUAUGAGAGUGAGACCAUGAGAGAAAACUUCUAUGAGAGCACCAGAUGCCAAGCUCUGAACCCAAGCAUGCCCAUGGCUCCGAAAGCCAAUCAGCCCUGCAGAAACCAACCCAGUAUGGCAAAUUUCUCUGAUAACAAAAGCAUGAGAGAAUUUCUACUUCAACGAAAGCAUGAUAAAGAAUUUCUCUCAUAACACCAGAGCCCAAACUCUGAAUCCAAUCAGACUAAUGGCCCCAAAACCCAACCAAGUACGUGAAAACCGACUGGAAACGCAGAAGCCAUUCCCUGUUUCUGAUAUUCUCGACAAAAAAUGGUUGCCUGACAAUUAUACUGGUCCUGUGGAUGAGGUGCCUGGGCCUUACUAUGAGAGAUCAGUCAUGGUUUGGCAACAUUCCUAUAUGGGUGCUCAUCAGAUGAUUGAUAAUGGCUGGAGAAGUUAUGGGGCUGACAUGAGAUGUAAGGGCAUGGGCAUGAGUAUUGGUGACCAGUUUUAUGAUGAUAUGAAGAUGGAGAGGGCAUGCAUGGAGAGAAAGCAAAAAAGAGGGAUGAGGCAACCACCAGAGAGGAGUCAUGGCCAUCAGAGGACGAGAGUAGAAGGUGGUUGACAUUGGAUUUAAGAUCAUUUUUUUUCCUUUCAGAAAAGGGGACUGAAAACCAAAUGUGGUUUAUAACACAUCCGUCCAUGGAUGGAUGAAUCUAGUGGUCAUGCACAUUAGGUAAGCUCUUGAGUCUUGAUGACAGACCAACCUUCAGUGAAGGAGGCAUCAUUUUGCUAGAUGCAUUUGCAAUGCUCUCUCUCUCUGUGCUUUACAUCAAAGUGCUGAAUGUCAAGAUAUCCAUAUUCAGGAUUACA